RNAcentral lists this long non-coding RNA (405 nucleotides) under Struthio camelus australis. Its description in RNAcentral is "lncRNA (ENSSCUG00000001604.1)". Lineage: Eukaryota; Metazoa; Chordata; Aves; Struthioniformes; Struthionidae. The record is from RNAcentral.
UGGGCUUAUUUUGAAGUGAAUCUUGUCCCUUUUUGAGCAAAUAUGGAUGUGGUUUAUGGAACCGAUUCUCAACUGAUUUCUUUGGUUUCAGUAUAAAUCCUAGGAGAGAUCGGCCUUUUACUUCAAAAUCUUCAAGCAGCUCAAAGAGAAGGCACAUAUUUGUUGAGCAGCUGCGGACUUUUGGCAGAGACACAUGCCCUUCCAAGAACAGGCACCUGUGAAAGCCGAGGCCAUCCUGCGGGAGAGCAUCCAUCUUCUUGAACUUGUACUGGCAGAAGGAGUUGCGGGCACUUCAGGUGAAGUUUGCACACUUUUGAUGCUGCUUGGAUUGCACGUCCUCGGUGCAGUCAGGCUGUCACAGCUCACCACCACUGGGGCAAGCGAAGGGACAAAACUGGUAACAAA